Non-coding RNA from Chaetura pelagica (chimney swift), 71 nucleotides. NCBI's taxonomy places the organism in Eukaryota, Metazoa, Chordata, Aves, Apodiformes, Apodidae. The record is from Rfam.
UUCAUUAAGGUGGGUGGAAUAGUAUAACAAUAUGCUAAAUGUUGUUAUAGUAUCCCACCUACCCUGAUGUA